GGCUCAGGAUGAACGCUAGCUACAGGCUUAACACAUGCAAGUCGAGGGCAGCACAGUGUAGCAAUACAUGGGUGGCGACCGGCGCACGGGUGCGUAACGCGUAUCCAACCUUCCGAUACUCUUGGAUAGCCUUCGAAAGGGAGAUUAAUACAAGAUGGUGUUUCACUUUCGCAUGUUAUUGAAACUAAGAAUUUCGGAAACGGAUAGGCUCGCGUGACAUUAGCUAGAUGGCGGGGUAACGGCCCACCAUGGCGACGAUGUCUAGGGGUUCUGAGAGGAAGGUCCCCCACACUGGAACUGAGACACGGUCCAGACUCCUACGGGAGGCAGCAGUGAGGAACAUUGGUCAAUGGUCUGACGACUGAACCAGCCAUGCCGCGUGAAGGUGACGGCCCUAUGGGUCUUAAACUUCUUUUGCAAGGGAGCAAUAAGGGUCACGUGUGGUCCGAUGAGAGUACCUUACGAAUAAGCAUCGGCUAACUCCGUG
RNAcentral lists this ribosomal RNA (487 nucleotides) under uncultured bacterium. RNAcentral's name for it is "bacterial SSU rRNA". It matches the Rfam family "Bacterial small subunit ribosomal RNA", at positions 21 to 507 of the family's 1533-position model. The record is from RNAcentral.